CGGGGCGUGGCGGAACAGGCAGACGCGCCAGCCUCAGAAGCUGGUGGGCGCAAACCCGUGCGGGUUCGAAUCCCGCCGCCCCGACCA
RNAcentral lists this transfer RNA (87 nucleotides) under Caudoviricetes sp. Its description in RNAcentral is "tRNA-Leu". It matches the Rfam family "tRNA". From Rfam's summary of the family: Transfer RNA (tRNA) molecules are approximately 80 nucleotides in length. Their secondary structure includes four short double-helical elements and three loops (D, anti-codon, and T loops). The record is from RNAcentral. Lineage: Duplodnaviria; Heunggongvirae; Uroviricota; Caudoviricetes.